This 367-nucleotide long non-coding RNA is filed under the name Trifolium pratense (red clover). RNAcentral describes it as "long non-coding RNA (TPRA_LNC002752)". Lineage: Eukaryota; Viridiplantae; Streptophyta; Magnoliopsida; Fabales; Fabaceae. The record is from RNAcentral.
UCAAGUUCGAUUCCUUAAAAUUCGCAUUCUUUUUCAUCGUGUUCCGCCAUCGUUAAUUGCAGUUGAACAUCCAUCUUGUCGUAUAAGGUUAGGUUACUCAGUCUUACUCAAUCGACCACACUUUUUGUUUGUUAUUUUUGUUUAUGUCAGUGUGAUAUUAUCGUCUGAUUUUGGGGAUUAUGUUGUUAUUGUUGUUGUUUUGAUUUAACUGACAGUAAUGUUUACUCGGUCUGUGGUGUGUCUAAUAUUUGCAGGAGAGGUAUCUAGAUGUGUUGUUGUUGUGUUGGUUUUGCUGAUACAACUUCUUUGAGAUUGUCUUCCUUCUUGGUUUGGGAGUAUAGGUGUAAUUUCUGAACAGGAAUGANNN